Molecule: ribosomal RNA, 117 nt
Filed under: Gemmatimonadales bacterium
Lineage: Bacteria; Pseudomonadati; Gemmatimonadota; Gemmatimonadia; Gemmatimonadales
Source: RNAcentral
GCUGUCGACUAGCGCGCAGGGGCCACACCCGUUCCCAUUCCGAACACGGUCGUUAAGCCCUGUAGCGCCGAUGGUACUGCCAUCGCGAGAUGGUGGGAGAGUAGGCCGUCGCCAGCC